AAUCAACGCUGGCGGCGUGCCUAACACAUGCAAGUCGAACGCGAAAGCCCCGCAAGGGGCGAAGUAGAGUGGCAAACGGGUAGAGUAACACGUGGGUGACCUGCCUUCGAGCGGGGGAGUAACGUCCCGAAAGGGACGCUAAUACCGCAUAACAUCCUGCCUUUGAAGAGGUGGAGAUCAAAGCUGGGGAUCGCAAGACCCGGCACUUGAAGAGGGGCCCGCGUCUGAUUAGCUAGUUGGUGGGGAACGGCCUACCAAGGCAACGAUCAGUAUCCGGCCUGAGAGGGCGGACGGACACACUGGGACUGAGACACGGCCCAGACUCCUACGGGAGGCAGCAGUGGGGAAUUGUUCGCAAUGGGCGCAAGCCUGACGACGCAACGCCGCGUGGAGGAUGAAGAUUUUCGGAUCGUAAACUCCNGUCGAAUGGGACGAACAGAUUGCGGGUUAACAGCCCGUAGUCCUGACGGGUACCGUUAAAGGAAACCCC
RNAcentral lists this ribosomal RNA (490 nucleotides) under uncultured bacterium. Its description in RNAcentral is "bacterial SSU rRNA". It matches the Rfam family "Bacterial small subunit ribosomal RNA", at positions 32 to 494 of the family's 1533-position model. The record is from RNAcentral.